CAUGGUUGCUGAAUCGUGUCUUGUCCAGCUGCUGAAGACUUGCCAAACAUGUCUAACGAACCGUACACAGGUGACUUUCACGUGUAAAGGGUCAAUGCUGCGUGCCUGCGUGACCUGCCCUGAGGGCCAUGAAAUGAUAUCGUGCAGCCAGCCACUGGUCGGUGACAAGCCGCUUGGCAACAUUGUCAUGAGUGCUGCAAUUUGGUUUGCUGGAUGCAGCCGUGCAAAAAUGCUCAGGUUGUUCAACUUCAUGCGACUUGCCAGCAUCAAGUAUACACAGUAUUUCCAGAUCCAACGCUGCUACUUGUUUCCCGCUAUUGAAGCUUCAUGGAGGGCUGAGCAAGCUGACCUUCUCCACAACGUGAGGCAAAGACAAGCAGUCCUUGCUGGCGAUGGAAGAUGUGAUUCCACCGGUCACAACGCAUUCAUGGGGACCUACACACUGCUUGAAGCCCCAUCAAAUCGGAUCUUGCACUUCGAGUUACUGACGUCACCUGAAGUUGGCUGUAGCAACCGGAUGGAAAAAAGGGGCCUACAACUGGCUCUCGAGUAUCGUCUGGAGAAAGGUGUCAACAUUGAC
This is a long non-coding RNA of Ornithodoros turicata, 580 nucleotides long. RefSeq lists it as uncharacterized. The record is from RefSeq and is a predicted model, not a curated record. The transcript is spliced from 3 exons. NCBI's taxonomy places the organism in Eukaryota, Metazoa, Arthropoda, Arachnida, Ixodida, Argasidae.